UGGGGAAUUUUACGCAAUGGGGGAAACCCUGACGUAGCGACACCGCGUGAGCGAAGAAGCCUUUUGGGGUGUAAAGCUCUGUCAGCUGGAACGAACACAAUGACGGUACCAGCAGAGGAAGCAUCGGCUAACUACGUGCCAGCAGCCGCGGUAAGACGUAGGAUGCAAGCGUUGUCCGGAUUCAUUGGGCGUAAAGAGUUCGUAGGUGGUCUGUUAAGUUUGGUGUUAAAGAGCGGGGCCCAACCCCGAUAGUGCACUGAAUACUGGCAGACUUGAGUGCGUUAGAGGUAAGUGGAAUUCCAAGUGUAGCGGUGAAAUGCAUAGAUAUUUGGAAGAACACCGGUGGCGUAAGCGACUUACUGGGCCGUAACUGACACUGAGGAACGAAAGCCGGGGUAGCGAAUG
Molecule: ribosomal RNA, 405 nt
Filed under: uncultured bacterium
Lineage: Bacteria
Description: bacterial SSU rRNA
Rfam family: Bacterial small subunit ribosomal RNA
Source: RNAcentral